CUUCAAUAAAGUGUAGUAUAGUGAAUGGAUGGUGCUAGUAGGUAAAGGUUCAUGUUCAUCUCUGUUGUUUUGUUAUUCUGGAUCUAGAGACAAAAGUACAAACAAGAACCUGGAACAGAGUUUGGCUUCUGUCUUAUUAUGGAUUAGAUUCUAUUAACCUUGACAAAACCAGAAGGAUUAGGUCAACAUUUAGAUUGUCAAAGUUGACUGGAUAAAAGGUUUAUUUUAUUUUUAGAGACAGAGUCUUGUUCUGUUGCCCAGACUGGAGUACAGUGGUGUGAUCAUUGUUCACUGCAGCCUCAAACUCCUGGCCUCAAGUGAUCCUCCUGCCUUGGCCUCCCAAAGUGCUAGGAUUAGAGGCGUGAGCCACCACGACUGGCCCUAGAGAUUAUAAUUAUGAAAGAAUGUAGGUUUAAAAAAUUCAACCUAAUAUAUUAUUUGGUUAACUACAAACAGAGAUUUAUGGCAUAUAAUCAUUUGCUAAGGGAAAAACUAAAACAAUGUUUGUUUUGAGACAGGGUAUUUCUCUGUUACCCAGGUUGGAGUGCAGUGGUGUGAUCUUGGCUCAGUGUAGCCUCCACCUGCUGGGCUCAAGCUAGAACUACAGGUGCAUGCCACAAUGCCUGGCUAAUUUUUAAAUUUUUUUAGAGACAGGGUCUCUUUAUAUUGCCCAGACUGGUCUUGAACUCCUGGGCUCAAGCUAUUCUCCAGCCUUGGUCUCCCAAAGUGCUAUGAUUACAGGCAUGAGCCACUGUGCCUAGCCUGUAACAAUGUUUUUGAGGUAGCUCUAAAGUGAAAGGCAGAAUAUCUGUUGUUACAUAUGACAAAAAAUAGUCAAUUGACAUGUAUCUUGUGCACACAGGACUACAGAAGAAAUUCUGCUCAUAUGAGAAAGAAACAUUGAUCAAUUUUCUAAUUAACAAAUACUGUAUUCAAUCUCUUGUCUACCCAAAUAACUUAGCCAAGGAUAAGUUCUAAUCAGACUCUAUGAACUGAGAAUUACAAAUCAACUGAAGAAAGUAACAUCACUUUUUUUAUUUGAUUCAAACCCAUUUUCAUAUACAAAGCUAAUUUAUUAUGUACAAAAUAAAUGGACAUUCUUAAAAAGUAUUAGAAUACAAAUUUCCAAGGGCCUAAAAUAAGUGCAAAAUUUUCAAUUAUCUUUAAUCAUGCUAUACAGAAACAAAUCAAGUAUUAGCUCAUAUACACACAAUGAAUUUUUUAAAAAUAGCACUUAAUGUAAUAAAACAAAACAUACAUCUUAUAUAUUUAAUUUUAAAAGGAUGAGGAAGGAAAGAAUGUAUUGCACCAAACUAACAGUAACUUAACUACAAUGAGAAUAAUCAAAAUUAUUUAUACAUCUUUAUUAAAAAUUGCUCAGCUUUAAAAUGUUUUUGGGGGGCAUACAAAUAUCCACUGAGUCACAGUUUGCACAGUCAAUAAUUAGAUAUAAAUAAGGCAUAAUAUUUUCUUUUUCAUGGUCAAUUCCAGUAGAAUAAGUGAGAAGGAACAUUUUAAGAUAAAUACACAACUUUCUGAAUUCCUUCAAUAUUUAAGUAGCAGCACAAUUUCCAAGUACUUUCAAAAAACAAGUCAUUCUGAAUUUUUAGUUAUUACGCUCUGAAUUGACUAUGUGCAUAUACAUGCAUUCAAGUCACUGUCACUCUCUAUAACACUGAAAUGCUAUUGGAGUCCCAGAAAAACUGACAAAAGAGAUGAAUUAAAUAUGUUUCAUAUUUUUAUGCCUCAGUAGAUUCAUUUUUAUAGCAAUGAAUCUGAGAGAAAUGGCUAUCUAGCCAGAUAUGAUUACUUUUUGCUAUAUUUUUUGCUCCAAGUCUAUAAAAGCAAACAACUGGAGGAAUGAAAGCCAUACCUGUUAAGAGUUUCUAAAUGGAACCAACCAGCCACAUAGUUUUCUAAGAAGUUUUCUUAUAUAAAGCUACUUAUAAAAUAAGCAGUUUGCCACAAAAAAAGUUUGGUGAUGUUCAUCAAUCACAGUCUUUGAGAGCAGCAAAAAGCAGAAUAGGAAAAAAACAGUUUAAAAUAUAAAAGAUCUUUAAUAGUAAGAUCUACUAUAACAUGCCAUAGUUUUGGAAGAAAAAUAGAAAUUAUUAUCAUUAAAUUGCUAAAAAGUCAUCUAAGAAAAUCAAAAUUCCAAAAUUCCAAAAGAAUUAUUCUUUCCAAAGGAAAAAAUAAAGUUAUCCUCUUUAAUCCCUAUAUACAAAACAGACGCUGACAGUUUUUCAAUUAAGUCUGACUACUGAUAUCCUACCAGAACCACUUCUUAAAGUGUUUAGUGAUUAAUCACAGAAUUGCUAGUUUUAAUACAUCUUAAGUUGAAAUAUUACCAAAAUAAAAAUUUUAAAGGUCCAAUUGGAAUAGGACUUCUUUUAAAAAGUAGCUGAAUUGAUAAAUUUUUAAAAAUCCCACCUAAAUCCUAAUUUUUCUUCAUCUUACAUUACAAUGCUACAUUGUAACAGCAUUACAAGCCGCUAAUCACUCUGUACACUGAAAAAUAAUUAUAAAUUAAUUUAAAUAAUGAGACAGCCAUUACAUAAGUGGAAACACAGACACACAUAUACCCCUCCACUAACAGUCAAGUUUGAAAAAUGAAUGGGUAAUUUUUUAAAUGACAAAAUUGUGUUAUUACUAUUAUUGUUAUAUUUGCAAAAUAUGUUUCCAAGGAAACAUGAAAACCGUACCAUGAAAAACAAAUAUUGAAUUAGUAGCUUUCUAUUUGUUCUUUUCCUUCUGAAUUUUCAGUUCAUAAGAUUAUGGGCAUUAAGACAAAGGUAAAUAUUGUUGAAUGUGCCCUUUUACUUAUCACUAAAGCCACUGGCUUUACAGGUCCAAAUCCUGCAAUGUGUUUAGAAAUCACUCACGUGUGACAAAGAUCAAUGAGAUAAUCACCAAACGAAGGAGAUGUGUCUGAUGAAUUACUAUAAUCAAAUAAGUAUCUGAUAAUACAGCCACUAUUAAAUGAGAUUUUUAUACAGAAGAAAAUCACGUAACUCCUAUACUCUAGGAUGGCCUUACAUUUCUUAACACAGAAAACUGAAUUAUUUCCUAUUUGGAAUUAAACAUCUUAAAUGUUAAUGCGUUCUUCUCUGUUAUACCUAUAAAAAAUUAAAGAUUAUUUCCAUACAGAGGCUGUACCUGCAAAAGUCAUUGGAAGUAGUAGAUAAUUUACCCAAUGCUUUUUAAUUAGGAAAAUUCUAUUGAUUACAAGCUUCAAGGCUCUAAGAGAUCUACUUUUAUGUUUUAAAUUUAGCAUGUUAGUCAUGUUUUUUUCUUCUUUAAAAUGUUGCCUAAUUCAAGUUUGCAAAACGUUCACUGAAAGUCACCAGGAACUAAUAUUAGCAAACAGAUGUACUUUUCUGGAGGCAAAUAUUAGUUAUAAUUUUCAAAUGUGAACAGUCUAAAGAGAGUUCAUGAUAAAAAUAACUCAAUUGAAAGGAGAUUUUGUUGUUUUUGUGGCAGGCAAAACAAAGAUAAUAAAGCCAUUCCAAGCAAAUUUUAGACAAAAUGUCCCUCAGGAUAAUGAUUAAGCCUAUUUUCAAAUAAGUCUGAAUAUUGGAUCUGGUAUAUAAAGAUAAAUGGACAAAUUUCUAUGCAGAAAAAUUUUUAGGAUAUAACAUAAUAAUCCUCAGACAUAAUUUUUUAAUACCAAGAAUAUCAAGCAAAGAGAUUCAUGAAGUCCAAAGCAGUGCCUACAUAUCUGUAUAUUUAUAAACUCCACAGAGAAGUCUGAUCUGUAAUAUCCAUUAAGAACCACUGGCCUAGAAACUGCCAGAUUUAAAUUUAAAAAAAUGUAUUUUUGGAGACAGGGUCUAACUCUGCCACCUAGGCUGAAGUGCAGUGGUGCAAUCACAGCUUACUGCAGCCUUGAUCUCUAGGCUCAAGCAAACCCCUUGCCUCAGCCUCCCGAGCAGCUAGGACUACAGGCGCUUGCCAGCACACAAGGCUAAUUUUUUAAUGUCUUGUAGAGGUGGAGCCCACUAUGCUGCCCAGGCUGGUCUUGAGCUCCUAGGCUCCAGUGAUCCUCCUGCCUCAGCCUCCUAAAGUGCUGAGAUUAUAGGCAUGAGCCACCAUGCUUGGCCUAGAUUUAAACUAAAGAAGGCAGGCUGUGGUCCACAUUUUAAAUCAUAUUAAAAUGAUGACUGAUAACACUAUAUUGUUGCCUAAGGUCAUCAAGAAAAAUACCACAUGACUCUGAUAAAUACAGGAAAACUCUAUAGAACAAUGCUCUGGAUGGAGUCAAGUUUAAAACAAAUAAUAUGUUGAGCAUAUACAAUAUACGAAUUCAGCAAAAAGAAUAUUGAGAAUGGAUUUUGUUAAAGAGUGAUGAAAAUGUUUAAGAUUGCUCACUUAUUGGGGAGAAACAGUUUCAGCUGAUGAGAGGAACAAUGCGUAGGAUAAGCCAUGAGUAUGGCUGAUGAUGCAAACAAACAAACAAAAAGGAAACAAACAAACAUGUUUCAUUUCUUAUAUCCCAGUCAAAAACUGUAUCCUAAAGAUAGGUUCAAGAACCUGUUUCCAGAAGACAGGUUUAAAUAUACAUAUUUGAAAAGACCAAUCUUUACACACACAUAACCCCAACAGACACCCAUAUUACAUAUAUUAUUUAAUAAUAUAAUAUUUAUAUUUAAUAUAGUCCUAGGACUUGCAUCUUUUCAGUGGAAAGGUGGUAAAGAUAAUGCUACUCAUUUUAUAAAUAUAUAAAAGGAGCUAACUUCCUUAAGUUCAAUUACAAGAUUUCCUCAGUGGUCUCUUUAGUAGUAACAAUAUAAAAUAUACAUAAAGGCAAAGGUCAUAUCUCUAUCAUCAUUAAAUAAAAAUCUGGUAUCCAAGUUAACAGUUUCCCCUGACCACUCCUUUUCACACAAAAUAUAAAAUGUCUUAAGAUUCAACCGUCAAAUCUGAAUUCUAAUUCUGAGAGCCCACUUAUUCUUUUCAGAAGCAUAAACUUGAUUUUCAAUACAAGUACUCUGAAGGAUAAUUUUAAUAUGCCCUAAAUAGAGAAAAAAAAGAAACCUCAUUGGUGUUCCUUGCUAAUGACAGAAUGAACACUUGGUAUUUUUUCUUCUACAAAAGGAUGCACUGCACUGUGACCUAAACAAAGUUAACAGAUUUUAAUUUUGUUAUUAACUUAAUAACAGACGUGAGCUUCACAGGCUAAAAAGAAAGACUAAACCAACUUGCCAAACUUCAUUUUUAUAUACUUUCCUGAUUUUUAUGCCCUGAUCUAUUUUUCUUUCUCUCUUACAAUUUUAUCUGAGUAAUGCCAGAAUACUGAUUGCAAACAGUUGUAAAAAAAUUUUAUAAAGGUUCUUUAUUCUCUAAGCGUGCACAGCUAUUACAUGUUUUAAUACUUGAUCUCAUUUUCCAAAAGUAAAAUAAUUAUCUUGGUAUAAAUCUCUUCCUAUCACCAGGAUGCUGAGAUUUUUAUUUUUGUCAUCACCAGUAUCAAGAAACAAAAGCAUACAAAAAGUUUUGCAAAGAUAACAGACUUUUUUUUUUUUUGAGAUGGAGUCUUGCCCUGUUGCCCAGGCUGGAGUGCAGUGGUGCGAUUUUGGCUCACUGCAACCUCUGCCUCCUGGGUUCAAGCGAUUCUCCUGCCUCAGCCUCCUGAGUAGCUGGGACUACAGGCACCUGCCACCAUGCCCAGCAAAUUUUUGUAUUUUUAGUAGAGACAGGGUUUCACCAUGUUGGCCAGGCUGGUCUUGAACUCCUGACCUUGUGAUCCGCCCACCUCGGCCUCCCAAAGAGCUGGGAUUAUAGGCGUGAGCCACCACAAUUGGCCAGGUAACAGACUUUGUAAGAGCCAACUUGAGAUACUAUAUUCACCAAUUGAAAUGUCCACCUGUUAUUUCAUUCCAAUGAUACUGUUCAUUUCUCCCAUUAUAUAAUAUAUAACUAAUUUCUAUGGGUAACAUCUAAAUAUACCAGAAUUCUCAAAAGUACUUCUUUCCAAUUAUUUUAUCUAGUGAUUUUUAAUUCAGUAGGCUAUACUCUUUAAAUGAGUAAUAUAUUAUUCACUAAUAGUUGUUUGCUUCUUUUAACAGAUAAAAUUUAAGUUCCAUUCUCUAGACUGUUGCUAGUAUUCUCAAAGAUUUUUCUCUAAAUUCCAUAUUUUUUUUCUUUUCUUUGAGACAAAGUCUCACUCUGUUGCCCAAGCUGGAGUGCAGUAGCGUGAUCUCAGGUCACUGCAACCUCCACCUCCCGGGUUU
RNAcentral lists this long non-coding RNA (6230 nucleotides) under Homo sapiens (human). RNAcentral's name for it is "HSALNT0046028". The record is from RNAcentral. Lineage: Eukaryota; Metazoa; Chordata; Mammalia; Primates; Hominidae.